This 301-nucleotide ribosomal RNA is filed under the name uncultured eukaryote. Its description in RNAcentral is "SSU rRNA". It matches the Rfam family "Eukaryotic small subunit ribosomal RNA", at positions 111 to 414 of the family's 1831-position model. The record is from RNAcentral.
UAUCGUUUAUUUGAUAGUACCUUCCCAUAAAGAUACCUGUGGUAAUUCUAGAGCUAAUACAUGCUACCUUCCCCGACUUCAGGAAGGGGUGUAUUUAUUAGAUAAAAAACCAACGCCCUUCGGGGCUCCUUGGUGAAUCAUAAUAACUUAACGAAUCGCAUGGCCUUGCGCCGGCGAUGGUUCAUUCAAAUUUCUGCCCUAUCAACUUUCGAUGGUAGGAUAGUGGCCUACCAUGGUGGCAACGGGUAACGGGGAAUUAGGGUUCGAUUCCGGAGAGGGAGCCUGAGAAACGGCUACCACA